Molecule: transfer RNA, 74 nt
Filed under: compost metagenome
Description: tRNA-Ile
Source: RNAcentral
CCUGUGGUAGCUCAGCUGGCAGAGCAUGCGCUCGAUAAGCGCAGGGUCGGUGGUUCGAGACCACCCCGCAGGAC